AUACGGAGGAUCCGAGCGUUAUCCGGAUUUAUUGGGUUUAAAGGGUGCGCAGGCGGGAGAUUAAGUCGGCGGUGAAAUUUUGCAGCUCAACUGUAAAAGUGCCUUCGAAACUGGUUUCCUUGAGUGUAGAUGAAGUUGGCGGAAUUUGUGGUGUAGCGGUGAAAUGCAUAGAUAUCACGAGGAACUCCGAUUGCGCAGGCAGCUUACUAAACUACUACUGACGCUCAGGCACGAAGGCGUGGGGAUCAAACAGGAUUAGAUACCCUGGUAGUCCACGCAGUAAACGAUGAUUACUAGCUGUUUGCGAUACAAUGUAAGCGGCUGAGCGAAAGCGUUAAGUAAUCCACCGGGGGAGUACGUUCGCAAGAAUGAAACUCAAAUGAAUUGACGGGG
RNAcentral lists this ribosomal RNA (393 nucleotides) under uncultured bacterium. RNAcentral describes it as "partial 16S ribosomal RNA". It matches the Rfam family "Bacterial small subunit ribosomal RNA", at positions 523 to 918 of the family's 1533-position model. The record is from RNAcentral.